This 253-nucleotide ribosomal RNA is filed under the name uncultured bacterium. RNAcentral's name for it is "partial 16S ribosomal RNA". It matches the Rfam family "Bacterial small subunit ribosomal RNA", at positions 524 to 776 of the family's 1533-position model. The record is from RNAcentral.
UACGUAGGCAGCGAGCGUUGUUCGGAGUUACUGGGCGUAAAGAGUGCGUAGGCGGUUUUCUAAGUUUGGUGUGAAAUCUCCCGGCUCAACUGGGAGGGUGCGCCGAAGACUGGAAGGCUUGAGUAUGGGAGAGGUAAGCGGAAUUCCUGGUGUAGCGGUGAAAUGCGUAGAUAUCGGGAAGAACACCCGUGGCGAAGGCGGUUCUCUGGGACGGUACUGACGCUGAGACGCGAAAGCGUGGGGAGCGAACAGG